This 221-nucleotide long non-coding RNA is filed under the name Lathyrus oleraceus (garden pea). RNAcentral describes it as "Pisum sativum (pea) long non-coding RNA (PSAT_LNC035991)". Lineage: Eukaryota; Viridiplantae; Streptophyta; Magnoliopsida; Fabales; Fabaceae. The record is from RNAcentral.
ACCAAUAAAACCUGUACCUCCUGUGACACAAACUCUUCCUUUUCCUUCUGCCAUUAUCACACUUUUCUUGCAAAAUAUUUUUCACACUUUAUUGUUAUAUUGAUUACUUCUGUAUGAAUGUCGAUGGCCCUAUAAAUGUACUGUCUGCACUUAUUAUUGGCAGGUCAUGUAGGGACGUGAGGUCCAUACAACUUUUGCGCUUUAUUCAAGCAAUGUUUAUU